UACGUAGGGUGCAAGCGUUGUCCAGAAUCAUUGGGCGUAAAGCGCGUGUAGGCGGCCCGGUAAGUCCGCUGUGAAAGUCGGGGGCUCAACCCUCGGAUGCCGGUGGAUACUGUCGGGCUAGAGUACGGAAGAGGCGAGUGGAAUUCCUGGUGUAGCGGUGAAAUGCGCAGAUAUCAGGAAGAACACCCGUGGCUAAGGCGGCUCUCUAGUACGGUACUGACGCUGAGACGCGAAAGCGUGGGGAGCGAACAGG
Molecule: ribosomal RNA, 253 nt
Filed under: uncultured bacterium
Lineage: Bacteria
Description: partial 16S ribosomal RNA
Rfam family: Bacterial small subunit ribosomal RNA
Source: RNAcentral